ACAAGCCUGACAGAGGCUAGUCUGGACUAGCUCAGGACACGCAGGCGGAGGACACAGCCAGGCGACAAAAGUGAAGCAGCUGGACCAACCAGGGCGGGGCCAGGGCUGAGGACCAGGGGUGGAAGAAAUUAAAGCAACCGAUGCCCGGGAGCACAGGGCCCAGGACUGCCUUCAGCCUAUGAGUCUGUGAGCUUCCUGCGGGAGAUGAACGCCAAGAGCAGUUCCAAGCGAAAGUUCGCUCCGUGGCGAGUCAAGACCUCGGCCCUGGCCUCCUCUGUGCCAUCCUCUGGGACUUGCUACGUCACAGGGAGCAGGAGGGCAUUCUACUGCACAGACGGCCAGUCUGCACAGCCUCCUUCCUGUCCCACUAGACUUCUUCUGGGUUAUCCGGGGAGGGACAAGGGAAAGACCCACUUCUUCUGUGGUCCCCCACUUACAGACAAAAGAGACAGAAAGAAGGAGCAAGCAGGGAGCGAGUGAGAACGUGAGCAGAUGGGGUGGGGGGCGAGCAGAGUGGGAGGACGCGUGUGCGCAUGCCUGCGAGAGCGCCCGCCUUCUCAGCAUCCUUACGGCUCAUGCCUCGUGGAGGAGAGCGAGUCCGCAAAGAGGACCCUCUUACCCGCACCGAUGCUCCGGCUUUAGUUCCUGUGCUCGUGAUUUUGAAGCCAAUCAUUGCCCAGCGGCGCUGUUCCUCCUUGGAGGCCAGCUUCAUCCCUGGGCACCACGAGCCUCUUCUGGUCAGCAUGCCUGGCACAGGUGGACUCCACUGAGAUUUCCUGUCUUCAUCCCAGCGGUGUGGUCUGGCUGACCGUGGCCCGGCGGACUGGCCAGAUCAGAGGCCGUUGCUGUGUGUAGAGACCCCCACUCGCUUGUGCCCACAGGGAGCUUUGGAGGAGGGAGCUCCGAGGAUCUCCCAGCUGCUCUUACAGGUUCUCCCCGAGCUGAGUCCCCCAUAGCCUCCUCCACCCCCCAGCAGGGAGAUCUGUCACCUCUGAACUUGACAAGUGCUGAUUGCAGGCAGUUUGUUGCGGUGUACUACAGGAUGGGACCCCAGAUUAAGGGCAUCUCCCAAAGUUCCCAUUUUCAUGGUUUUCAUCUUCAGCCCUCUCUGUAGAUUGUGCCCGAGAUUAGCCCAGUCUAAUGGGGUAAGACUAGAGGGGUGUUAUCCUGAGCAGAAAUGUCUCCGUCCUGCUUUUUAGGCUCAGAAGAUAUGUUGGUAAGUGACAAACUCAUGUUGUAAAUUUGUAAAUUAUGUCCUGCCCCAGUCCCGGCACCACCACCAGCCCUUUGACCUCAGUCCUCAUCUUUGGGGGCUGUGGAGGUAACAGCCUAGGUCCCCUCCCCUCAGGGGCAUGUGCAGGCCUAGAGCUUCAGAAGGAAGCUGGCACUGGUGUCCAGAGCCAGAGAUGUCUGUCGUCCUUCUGUGAAGCCUGUCUCCUGACUUGACACGGAGGACUGCUGAGAGGGCACAGGAGAACACAUGGGUAUGGUCACCAGGGAGAAGGGGGGUGGGGCCUCCAACGUGCCCUUUCUGAUUAAAAUCUCUCAAAAUCAGAACUUACAAAGAUGGGAGGAAACUUGGGGCUCGUCAAAUCAGGCAUUGCCAGCCUUAGUGAUGCAGCAGAAUUAUGUGUAGUGGCUUGAAAAGGCAGAUUUCCAAGGCCCACCGCAAAUCUCUUGAAUCAGGAUCUCCAGGGGGUGGAACCCAGAGAGCUGUAUGGAGCUGAGCUGGGGCAGCGCUGCCCAGCCAAGCCACCCAGCACGAGUUUUACAGUCAGAGUGGAUUUGCCACUCACCGCCUGUCUGUCCAAGUGAUACAGGAAAAAUGCGGCAUGAGAGGAUGGCCAUUUCCCAGGUCUCGGAAGAGACGUGGUGGGGCGCAUCCCCAAGUGAGGGUCCUUGGCUUCACGCAGGAAAGAAUUCAAGAGCGAGCCAUAGUAGAGUAAGAGUAGAUUUAUUCAGAGAGAUACUUACUCCAUAGACAGGUCGUCUCAACAGGCAAGAAAAGGGCCGAGAGAAUGAGGGCUACCUUACUCGGAAGGGAGAGCGGCAGCCUCAGAGCAUGGGGUCGACUGGGAAAAAUGAGACCCCGAGGUGUGGGGUCUUCAUAUGCUAAAAAGUGGGAAGAUUAUUCCAACUACUUUGGGGAAGGGGCUGGAUUCCCGGGAACUGGGCCACCUCCCACAUUUGACGUUUAAUGGGCAGCCUUGAAACUGCCCUGGCACCUGUGGGGGUGUCCUUUAGCAGCUAAUGUGUUACAGUGAGCAGAUAGUGAAGCUCAAGUUCUACUGGGAGUUGAAUCUUCUGUCCUCUUGCUGCUAAUUGCUCUAUUAUUCUUUUAAGGGUUGUGCCCGGCCCCCUUCCCUCCUGUCUCACAAGGCCAAGUUACCCAGCCUCAGUUUCCCCAUCUGUAAAAUAGGAGUAACAACACUUGGCAGGGCUGGGGUCAAGGUUAGAGAAGACGCUGCGUGCGAAGGGCUGGGUGUGGAGUUGAAAGCUGAUGCACAGCCAGCCCCAGCUGCUUGCUGCCUGCCCACGGUGAGGUGCACAUGUGGGGGAAGAGCCCGUGGGAGCAGGUGACCUGCUCACCCAUCGUGCAUUCAGUCCUCAGGGAGACAGAGCUUGAUAAGGAACCCAAGCAUGUGAGUUCCGGACACCAAGGGGGUGACUUUGCGUGGACGAGCUGUCUCCAGUGGCCUCGGGGAGGAAGCUCGUUCCGCCGGCCCAGCUCCAGCAGGAAGACCUCAGUGCUGUCUUUUCUGCACCUCACAGUCCUGCUGACACAGACCGCUUGUGACAUUCUGUAACCCCAUCCAACCACAUGCUUUGAUGUUCCUGGGACCACACUGACCAUCUGACCACAAGCUUUGAUGUUCCUGGGACCACAGUGACCAUCUGACCACAGGCUCUGAUGCUUCUGGACCACAUUGACCAUCUGACCACAUGCUCUGAUGCUUCUGGGACCGCACUGACCAUAUGACCACAGGCUCUGAUGUUCCUGGGACCACAAUGACCAUCCAGCUGUAGACUCAGCCCCUCUGAGCUUCUGAGCUGCUCUGAGUAAGCAGGUGGCUCUAUACUAAGUGUCCGUGGCAGCCUGAAGCCUCAUCUGCUAGUGGACACUCCAGCCUUGCUUGUGGUCUCAGGGCCACUGGCUCCCUAAGUGCAGAUCAGCCUACUUACCAGGUUUCUGACUCAAUCCCCUGAUUUGCAGUCCACAUGCAACAGCAGCAACCAAUGUUUUCCGAGCACUUGUCAACCGUCAGACAUUGUUCGCUGGUUAUAAAGAUGAGGCAGUCACAGACACUGUCCCCAAGGUACACCCAUUCUAGCUGGGGAGAUAGAUGGAAAAUGGAGCAUUCCAGUGCAGGUAAUAAAGGAAGAGAUGGGAACAGAGCCCUGCUGAUGCCUUUAGCAGAGAACCCUGAUCUAGUGAUGGAGGGAACAGAGAGUGAUCAAUGGAAUUUUAGGGGUAAGUUUCAUUUUCCUAGAAGCAAGCAGUUUUACAGAAGUGCAAAAGCAGGAAGGUGAUGGCCCUGCCUGGGCGGUCUUGCUGGUCCCUUUGUGGGUUUUGCCCCUUCAUGGUAAGAACCUGGCAAGGCCUGUUUGUUCAAAGUCCUCUCUGUGUCCCCCAGCCUCUGCUUGGUCUGGAGAACAUCUGUUGUUCCCACGUUCCUGUGAAUUGUCUUCCUUCCCUUUGGAGCCCCCGACCCCUAGCUCCUUCUCAGCUCAGCAUGGCCUGGAAGCUUCAAUUGCCUGCCUGUUAGGGAGCCUCUCAUGGUCUUUGUGGGGCUCCUGCAUAUGCAGAAUUAAAUUUGUUUUUCUCUCGUUAAUCUGUCUUAUGUCAAUUUAAUUACCAGCCCAGCUGAAAGAACCUGGAAGAGGGGAGGAAAAAUUUCCCUCCCCUACAAAAUGAAGGCAGGAGGUUUUCAGGUUGUACUUCCAUUCUCACCACACCCAGAGAAUUCUACACUGUUCCUGGUCGCACUGAUUUCUGGGAUGUCUCCUCAGUUUACUUCCGCCCACUCACUUUGGAGCUGGUGGCAUCCUCUUAGUACUGUUCUGCUCCUGACCUCCGAUGGGCUGGUUUUGGGGGUAACUUGUGUACCCUUCUAGGCUCUAACACAAGAGGCAAAAGGCAGAUUCUCAGGGAGCAAA
Camelus dromedarius (Arabian camel) is the source of this 4158-nucleotide long non-coding RNA. RefSeq lists it as uncharacterized. The record is from RefSeq and is a predicted model, not a curated record. The transcript has 3 exons. Lineage: Eukaryota; Metazoa; Chordata; Mammalia; Artiodactyla; Camelidae.